This 253-nucleotide ribosomal RNA is filed under the name uncultured bacterium. Its description in RNAcentral is "partial small subunit ribosomal RNA". It matches the Rfam family "Bacterial small subunit ribosomal RNA", at positions 26 to 281 of the family's 1533-position model. The record is from RNAcentral.
AGGAUGAACGCUAGCGGGAGGCCUAACACAUGCAAGCCGAGCGGUAUUUAUUCUUCGGAAUAGAGAGAGCGGCGUACGGGUGCGUAACACGUGUGCAACCUACCUUUAUCAGGGGAAUAGCCUUUCGAAAGGAAGAUUAAUACUCCAUAAUAUAUUGAAUGGCAUCAUUUGAUAUUGAAAACUCCGGUGGAUAGAGAUGGGCACGCGCAAGAUUAGAUAGUUGGUGAGGUAACGGCUCACCAAGUCAAUGAUC